This 520-nucleotide ribosomal RNA is filed under the name uncultured Glomeromycotina. RNAcentral's name for it is "SSU rRNA". It matches the Rfam family "Eukaryotic small subunit ribosomal RNA", at positions 569 to 1092 of the family's 1831-position model. The record is from RNAcentral. Lineage: Eukaryota; Fungi; Glomeromycota.
AGCAGCCGCGGUAAUUCCAGCUCCAAUAGCGUAUAUUAAAGUUGUUGCAGUUAAAAAGCUCGUAGUUGAAUUUCGGGAUUAGUGCGCUGGUCAUGCCUUUGGUAUGUACUGGUGUUACUGAUUUCUACCUUCUGAAGAACCGUUAUGUCAUUUAUUUGGCGUGGCGGGGAAUCAGGACUGUUACUUUGAAAAAAUUAGAGUGUUUAAAGCAGGCUCGCGCUUGAAUACAUUAGCAUGGAAUAAUGAAAUAGGACGUUUGACCCUAUUUUGUUGGUUUCUAGGAUCGACGUAAUGAUUAAUAGGGAUAGUUGGGGGCAUUAGUAUUCAAUUGUCAGAGGUGAAAUUCUUGGAUUUAUUGAAGACUAACUACUGCGAAAGCAUUUGCCAAGGAUGUUUUCAUUAAUCAAGAACGAAAGUUAGGGGAUCGAAGACGAUCAGAUACCGUCGUAGUCUUAACCAUGAACUAUGCGACUAGGGAUCGGAUGAUGUUAAUUUUUAAUGACUCAUUCGGCGCUUAACC